UGUAACGGCGCAGUUCUCGGUUGG
This 24-nucleotide non-coding RNA is filed under the name Arabidopsis thaliana (thale cress). The record is from RNAcentral. Lineage: Eukaryota; Viridiplantae; Streptophyta; Magnoliopsida; Brassicales; Brassicaceae.